AUGCCUUAGUACGGCGAGUGAAGCGGCAAAAGCUCAAAUUUGAAAGCUAGCACCUUCGGUGUUCGCGUUGUAAUUUGAAGAUAGUUUCCUUGAGUAGUCCUUUAUCUAUGUUCCUUGGAACAGGACGUCAUAGAGGGUGAGAACCCCGUAUGAUUUUGGAUACUACUCUUUGUGGGAUUCUAUCGAAGAGUCGAGUUGUUUGGGAAUGCAGCUCUAAGUGGGUGGUAAAUUCCAUCUAAAGCUAAAUAUUGGCGAGAGACCGAUAGCGAACAAGUACAGUGAUGGAAAGAUGAAAAGAACUCUGAAGAGAGAGUGAAAAAGUACGUGAAAUUGCUGAAAGGGAAGGGCUUGAGGUCAGACUUGGUGUUUAAUGAUUAUCAGUUCUUCUUGGACUGUGCACUCGUUUUUCACCGGGCCAAUAUCAGUUUUAGCGGUAGAGUACCCCUUGAAAUGUGGCUUCCUUCGGGGAGUGUUAUAGUCUUGGGGAGAUCUACUUGCUGGGACUGAGGACUGCGCUUCGGCAAGGAUAUUGGCGUAAUGACCUUAAGCCGCCCGUCUUGAAC
RNAcentral lists this ribosomal RNA (563 nucleotides) under Saccharomycopsis fibuligera. RNAcentral's name for it is "partial large subunit ribosomal RNA". It matches the Rfam family "Eukaryotic large subunit ribosomal RNA", at positions 73 to 659 of the family's 3401-position model. The record is from RNAcentral. Lineage: Eukaryota; Fungi; Ascomycota; Saccharomycetes; Ascoideales; Saccharomycopsidaceae.